GAUCCGUUAGCUCAGUCGGCAGAGCAUCUGCCUUUUAAGCAGAGGGUCCGCGGUUCGAGCCCGCGACGGGUCACCA
RNAcentral lists this transfer RNA (76 nucleotides) under Oscillospiraceae bacterium. Its description in RNAcentral is "tRNA-Lys". It matches the Rfam family "tRNA". Rfam says of the family: Transfer RNA (tRNA) molecules are approximately 80 nucleotides in length. Their secondary structure includes four short double-helical elements and three loops (D, anti-codon, and T loops). Lineage: Bacteria; Bacillati; Bacillota; Clostridia; Eubacteriales; Oscillospiraceae. The record is from RNAcentral.